CCCUACAUGGCAUAACCCCUUAAUUACCUUUCCAAUUCCCCUAUUCGGUACCACAUUACCCCUAAAUCUACACACUGUUUAUGUCAACCUCUACUCACCAUGCUAUCGUCAAUCAUCAGGCAUUUGCACAUAUAGGAUGCUGCCUAGAAUGUUUCUCUCUGCCUUCUUUGCCUAAUUAACCCCUGCUUAUACUUCAUAUUUCAGUGUGAGUGUCAUUUCCCAGAGAUCCUAUUUCCCACCUCCCGAAUCCUCCCAUUACAGGCUCACAUGCUAAGCACCAAGUGCCUUUCAGGUAUUACAAUUGUCCAUGUUGAGGUCAUGCAUUUGUUUGGGUUAUAGCUUGAUAGCCCUUUGUUCACUCUUCUCAGCCCCAUGAGGGCUGAAUCAAUGUCUCAUCUUUCUUUUAUAUCUCCACUGCCUAAAAAAUGUCCCGGCACCUGGUAUGUACUUAAUAAGUAGUUGUUUAAGGCACACAUGAUAAAUAAGAAGUAGAAUAGGGUGGUGGUAGAGGUACAAAUUGAAGAGAAAGAGUAGGAUAGGCAUUUUAAAAGAAUAAUCCAUAGAAACAAAGGAGAGUGAUGAAUAAAAGAUGAUGCCAAAGAUUUUUGUUUGGAGGGCUAGGAGAGCUAGUGCCAUUGGCCAUAGCAAAGGGGAACAUGAGGUGGAGGGGGCAGGUAGAUUUAACACUGUAAAGGUAGAAAUACAGCAGACUCAGAGACACAGAUGUGGGACUUAUCUACAUAAAAAGGAUGAUUAAGAAUGAAGAAUAUCCCACACUGCUUGUGUAUAUAUAGCUUCCUGAGCUUAGAGUAACACUCAUGAUGUAUCGUACUGACUUCUCCCCAAGCAGGAGCAUGAUUUAUCUGACUUCGUGUGACAGUGACGUUCACUGGUUCAUGCCUUUCGACUGGGUAAAUCUUAUCUAUUUAAAGGCUAAAAGAUUCUGGAGAUUCAGCACCCUCUAUUUUUUGGAAGACAGCAAUUCUGGGAAAAUGGAUGACCAAAAAGAAUUAAAUAAUUCAAUGAUUUCCCUGGAAUCAGCAAACCACAUUGGAGUAACUGUUUGAGUAUGAGUCUUAGAUCUUUGGUUGGACCCCAGAGUUCCUGCAGGAAAACAAAUCUGUAUUACAGGGCCCUAAUGGAUCCAUAUUCCCAGCCCCUUGAGGUUGAGCAAUGCAGCGUGAAGGGAAGCUUCCAGAUGGAAGCCCUUAGGAGAUGGUGCUGACUCCCCUCAGCAUGAAGCAAUACCUUGCACUCCUAAGUAAAGACAACACAGAACAGCACUCACCACUGACAUGGACAUGUUGCAGGAGCAAGGAAGACAAACAAGCAAACAAAAUCCAAACCUUAUGUUGCUGAAAGCCUCUGAGAUUUUUAAGGAUUUUUGUUACUGCAACACAUUCUACUCUAUCUUAAACAAUAACCAGAGUCUAUUUAUAUGUGAGAAUCAAAUGAUGCCAUUUCUUUACAUAACUUACUCUCAUUCCUACUUAUUAUUUAAUCCACAGAAAGAUCAAAGAUGUGAACAGUAAUAUACUGUGAUGAUCCUGCUGGCUCUGCCUGUAUCUUCAGCAGGAAUGUCUAGGGAAAGGAAUUUAGUCCAUCAGCAUUAAAAUUGUGAAUUUGGGUGAGAAAAAAAAAAAGAAUAGCUGAGACAUGGUGAAGAAAAACAUGAGAAAUGCAUUUAGUUUGGAAGAGGAUUCUAUCUGAAAAGAGUUAGUGCCUAAGGCCCGACAGACUCAUGUUGCUGUUACUUUAUUUUUUUCAGAAGAUAGGAAGAAGCAGAAAUGACUACAUCAUAUGCAGUCCAAUAAAUCUGAUCAUUUUUGGAGCAGAGGACUUAUUAGUUAUUGAGUCCCAACUGCACACUUUAGUUAGUGCUGUGGAGAUCUAAAAGGGAGGCCUGGGCAGGAAUUCCUUCUCUCCAUGUUCUUCCCUCUCAGGUUGGUCUUGAGGUCACUGAUUUCAGAUACCAUUAGGCAGGUUCAACGUGUAUUCAAAUUUGUUUCCCCCAUGUUUUCAUGUAGAUGGUGUAAAAAAUAAUUUCUUAAAGAUAUUAAUUAGCUCAAGUGGAUUCAAACUAUGCACUAUAGGUGUUCUCAGGAGAAAGAAAAAGGAAGGUAAAUUGAGUAGUUACUUAUGUGUGUGUAUAUACAUUAUAUACUGAAGGCACAUCCGACAGAUGCACAUAAUUACAAUAGUCCCAUUAUAAAAAUAUUCACCUUGUCUUCAUAUUAAAGAGAAUGAAAAAAGAAAAGUAUCAGUGGCAUUUCCAAGUUUUCAUAUCAAGUCCCUAGUUUUGGAAAAUUUGAAAUCAAAGAUUUAAUAACUGGUCAAAUUCUCACAGUGAUUAAAAAUAUCAUAUACCUUACUUUUAAUUUAAUGAACUAGCUCACAUCAACUCUUAUAUUCUAUGCUUUAUUUCUAUUUAUGAUACUAAAACUGAGACUUUAUGAUAUAUGUUCCUUGCUCUUUAUAAAAUUCAAUAUAUCCAAAUAUGUUUUUCGCAUAUAACUAAAACAUUUAUUACAAACAUCCUUUAAAUAGUAAGCCCUCGAUGAAUUUAAAUGCUGAUGGUCCAUCAACUGAUUCACAGAGAAUCUUGAAGGGCAAAAACUGAUGAAGGUGUUAUAUGGAGCAGUGCCAAUUGCAAAUCAAUCAGAAAUGCAAAUAAAAUAGCUCUCCUACUGCAAGUCAAUGUAAUUAGGUUUACCCUUAUUUGAUUUGCACAAAACUUUUCAGAAAUUUGCCUACUGAAUAAAUGACACGUAUGCAUAAAAUUAA
Molecule: long non-coding RNA, 2784 nt
Organism: Felis catus (domestic cat)
Lineage: Eukaryota; Metazoa; Chordata; Mammalia; Carnivora; Felidae
Exons: 4
Source: RefSeq, a predicted model, not a curated record